GUAGGGAAUAUUGCGCAAUGGACGAAAGUCUGACGCAGCGACGCCGCGUGAGUGAUGAAGGCCUUAGGGUCGUAAAGCUCUGUUGAAUGGGAAGAAAAAAAUGACGGUACCAUUCGAGGAAGGACCGGCUAACUUCGUGCCAGCAGCCGCGGUAAUACGAGGGGUCCUAGCGUUGUUCGGAAUCAUUGGGCGUAAAGGGUGUGUAGGUGGCCAUGUAAGUCAGGGGUGAAAGCCCCGGGCUCAACCCGGGAAGUGCACUUGAGAGUGCGUGGCUUGAGUACCGAAGAGGGUAGAGGAAUUCCAGGUGUAGUGGUGAAAUACGUAGAUAUCUGGAGGAACACCGGUGGCGAAGGCGGCUACCUGGUCGAGUACUGACACUGAGACACGAAAGCAUGGGGAUCAAACAGGAUUAGAAACCCUAGUAGUCC
This 428-nucleotide ribosomal RNA is filed under the name uncultured bacterium. RNAcentral's name for it is "partial 16S ribosomal RNA". It matches the Rfam family "Bacterial small subunit ribosomal RNA", at positions 354 to 796 of the family's 1533-position model. The record is from RNAcentral.